Long non-coding RNA from Micropterus dolomieu (smallmouth bass), 372 nucleotides. RefSeq lists it as uncharacterized. NCBI's taxonomy places the organism in Eukaryota, Metazoa, Chordata, Actinopteri, Centrarchiformes, Centrarchidae. The record is from RefSeq and is a predicted model, not a curated record. The transcript is spliced from 3 exons.
AGAAACUCCACAACGCAGCUAAGUAGAAAUGUAUUCCCAGCAGACGGGACUGGAAAAUGUAGCUCUCAUUUAAGCCGUUUUUUCCAAGUGGGGCAGCGUGGUUUCCAAGCAGUUGGUACAUGUCCGUCUUCAAGCCGGUUCCAGUCAACUAUAAUGCAGUAAAAAGGAAAUGCUGGCAAUUUCAACAAAAUGAAACAACGUGAACGCAACUAGGCUUGAGCUGGUCAAAGCUCAUGGCAGUUUAACACGUGCUUUAAUCGCUGACGUGAAACUGGAUCUUGGGCUGGAUGGAGGACUGGAAUGGCUUCUUAGUUUCCACGUGUUAUGUGCUACAUUAUUUCAGAAAAUAUGACAAAGUUUUAAAAUUCAAAU